UGUAAGAAAGACUAAGGGAUAGUCUU
RNAcentral lists this transfer RNA (26 nucleotides) under Goniastrea stelligera. RNAcentral's name for it is "partial tRNA-Met". The record is from RNAcentral. Lineage: Eukaryota; Metazoa; Cnidaria; Anthozoa; Scleractinia; Merulinidae.